This 445-nucleotide long non-coding RNA is filed under the name Equus caballus (horse). RNAcentral's name for it is "lncRNA (ENSECAG00000028534.3)". Lineage: Eukaryota; Metazoa; Chordata; Mammalia; Perissodactyla; Equidae. The record is from RNAcentral.
UUCUCUACCUCUUCCCUCAUUUCCCGUCUGCCCAGCUUUGUGUGAAACCAGACGACAAAGGGUGUUCGGAUUAAGAGCCAGAUGUUAGAGAAAUUUCUGGAAUGUUCCAGGUACACCUAUGUCCUCCAACACGAAAGUUAAAGCAUGUCCUUGAGACUUCUCAGACACCACUGCCACUCUCUUAGAUGAAGCUGGCCAGGACGCCUUCAAGAGAAGGAAUCAGAACUUCUGAUUUUGUGCUAAAGCUUCGUCCCAUGAUGUGGGCCAAUUAUCUUUGGUAAACAAAGGCAACUGGAGGAACGAGAGGAGGAUUUUGAGCUCCCCCUACAGCUCCCAGCGUUGUUGGUGUGACAUUCAGGAUGCCUAGCAUGCAUGUGAUCAGCAGAGCAGAUGAACUGGAAGAAUGAAAUCCUAUUCUUUCACUCAGCAUACAGCACUGUUACAG